RNAcentral lists this transfer RNA (71 nucleotides) under Enterobacteriaceae endosymbiont of Macroplea appendiculata. It matches the Rfam family "tRNA". From Rfam's summary of the family: Transfer RNA (tRNA) molecules are approximately 80 nucleotides in length. Their secondary structure includes four short double-helical elements and three loops (D, anti-codon, and T loops). The record is from Rfam by way of RNAcentral. Lineage: Bacteria; Pseudomonadati; Pseudomonadota; Gammaproteobacteria; Enterobacterales; Enterobacteriaceae. RNAcentral also lists the same sequence under 1 other name.
GGCGCAUUGGCAGAAUGGUGAUGCAGAGGAUUGCAAAUCCUUAUAUUACGGUUCAAUUCCGUAAUGCGCCU